Molecule: ribosomal RNA, 389 nt
Filed under: uncultured bacterium
Lineage: Bacteria
Description: bacterial SSU rRNA
Rfam family: Bacterial small subunit ribosomal RNA
Source: RNAcentral
AACGAACGCUGGCGGCGCGCCUAAUACAUGCAAGCCGAGCGAGAAGACGUAGCAAUACGUUUGUAAAGCGGCGAACGGGUGAGGAAUACAUGGGUAACCUACCCUCGAGUGGGGAAUAACUGGCCGAAAGGUUAGCUAAUACCGCGUACGCUCCUUGGACUUCGGUUCAGGGAGGAAAGCGAUACCGUGGGUAUCGCGCUCUUGGAUGGGCUCAUGUCCUAUCAGCUUGUUGGUGAGGUAACGGCUCACCAAGGCUUCGACGGGUAGCUGGUCUGAGAGGACGAUCAGCCACACUGGCACUGCGACACGGGCCAGACUCCUACGGGAGGCAGCAGUAAGGAAUAUUGCGCAAUGGGCGAAAGCCUGACGCAGCGACGCCGCGUGGGGGA